Molecule: ribosomal RNA, 465 nt
Filed under: uncultured bacterium
Lineage: Bacteria
Description: bacterial SSU rRNA
Rfam family: Bacterial small subunit ribosomal RNA
Source: RNAcentral
AGUUUGAUCCUGGCUCAGAACGAACGCUGGCGGCAGGCUUAACACAUGCAAGUCGAACGCAUCGCAAGAUGAGUGGCAGACGGGUGAGUAACGCGUGGGAAUCUACCGUGCCCUGCGGAAUAGCUCCGGGAAACUGGAAUUAAUACCGCAUACGCCCUACGGGGGAAAGAUUUAUCGGGGUAUGAUGAGCCCGCGUUGGAUUAGCUAGUUGGUGGGGUAAAGGCCUACCAAGGCGACGAUCCAUAGCUGGUCUGAGAGGAUGAUCAGCCACAUUGGGACUGAGACACGGCCCAAACUCCUACGGGAGGCAGCAGUGGGGAAUAUUGGACAAUGGGCGCAAGCCUGAUCCAGCCAUGCCGCGUGAGUGAUGAAGGCCUUAGGGUUGUAAAGCUCUUUCACCGAUGAAGAUAAUGACGGUAGUCGGAGAAGAAGCCCCGGCUAACUUCGUGCCAGCAGCCGCGGUAA